GGAUUUAAUUAAAUUAAAUAGGUUUGAUCUAAAAUUGUUCAGAUCUUGAAAUCCACUUGUCACAUAUCCAUACAUGGUGCCAUAAAUUGAUUUUUAAUAUGAUUAAAAAUUAAUUUAAUUUAUUUAAUGGUGCCAUGGGACACUUGGCAACAUCAGGGACCUCUUUCAUCAUCAGAUGGGGUGACAUGGAGAGAUAAUUUCAUGAAAAGAAUUGGAUAAGAUCAAAUUCUCUCUCUUCAUGGCAUAUGUCAUCCUUAUCUUUAUCUCACUUCUAAUUAAGGUUGAAUUUCGAAUUUAAUCACCACAAAAUCACCACGUGACCCUCUAAUCUGAUUGUGGGCAUGGGAAUUUCGAAAUGGAGUGAGGGAAUGGGCGACAUGAUGAAGGGCUUGGAUGUGAUCAAUCCUUUAUCAUGUGAUGGCGCAUGAAGCUAUGUUUGAAUUUUGAAUUCAAAAUAUAACUUAACUCCACAAAAUCUUGAUUGUUGGCGUGUGAAGAGGAGUAGAGUUAGAGUAUAAGAGGGGGUUAUCAGAUGGUAGUCGAAUUCAAGGAAAAAAGAGAGAAAAAGGAAAAAGGAGAAAAGAAAAAGAAAGAAAGAAGAAACUAGUUCAUCUUCCAACUUGCCAUUUGAUCUUCUACUAAGUCCUUCACGCCAUUAGUGUUAGGGUCCUGAUAAGAGUCUUUAGAUCAGAUCUAAGUCCUCUUCAAUCCCUCUAAACCUUUCUCCAAGUUUUUCCAAGAAGGUGGAUCAAAAGUUGAUAGCAUUGGGAAAAUCAAAUUUCAGCCUCAAGAAAUUCUGCGCAAGCUAGCACUUCCGCAGGAUUGGAUCUCUCCAGAAACUUCGCGUGUACUUCUCGUAGAGGCCAUUCGCGUACGUGGCUGCGAAGUCGAGGAUCAGAUCCACAAGUUUCAUCCAUCAUAAAAGAUAUUAAUCCUACAUUAAUCUUUUAUUUUGGUGUUAGGGUCUAGAUCCGAUUCUCCGAGGUUUUACCCUCCUUUGGGGCUCCUCACGGAGAUAUCUCCAAAAUCCAUUCGAUGGAUAUUCGGAAAUUAAUCGGAAUAGAAUGUUUAACUUUCAGAUCUAAUAGUUAAUGAUGCAUAAAGUUUUAGCAUAAUUGUUUAAACGAUUCCGGCAUAAUUCUAUGUGUUCUUACAGUGCUGAUUUCUAGAUUUGAUCUUAUAAGCAUAUACGAAUUAAAUUGUUUNNNNNNNNNNNNNNNNNNNNUCGCGUGUACUUCUCGUAGAGGCCAUUCGUGUACGUGGCUGCAAAGUCGAGGAUCAGAUCCACAAGUUUCAUCCAUCAUAAAAGAUAUUAAUCCUACAUUAAUCUUUUAUUUUGGUGUUAGGGUCUAGAUCCGAUUCUCCGAGGUUUUACCCUCCUUUGGGGCUCCUCACGGAGAUAUCUCCAGAAUCCAUUCGAUGGAUAUUCGGAGAUUAAUCGGAAUAGAAUGUUUAACUUUCAGAUCUAAUAGUUAAUGAUGCAUAAAGUUUUAGCAUAAUUGUUUAAACGAUUCCGGCAUAAUCCUAUGUGUUCUUACAGUGCUGAUUUCUAGAUUUGAUCUUAUAAGCAUAUACGAAUUAAAUUGUUUGAUUCGAUUUUUUCGCUACAUUUUUGAAACUUAAAAAAAAACUAUAUAUGACUUGAUCCCCCUUAUGAAGGGGUACGUAGGCAACCCGAUCAGGUUCAGUGGUUUUUUU
Molecule: long non-coding RNA, 1698 nt
Filed under: Phoenix dactylifera (date palm)
Lineage: Eukaryota; Viridiplantae; Streptophyta; Magnoliopsida; Arecales; Arecaceae
Description: long non-coding RNA (PDAC_LNC002734)
Source: RNAcentral